CCUACGGGAGUCUGCAGUGGGGAAUAUUGGACAAUGGGCGAAAGCCUGAUCCAGCCAUGCCGCGUGUGUGAAGAAGGCCUUCGGGUUGUAAAGCACUUUCAGUGGGGAAGAAAGCCUUGGGGCUAAUACCCUCGAGGAAGGACAUCACCCACAGAAGAAGCACCGGCUAACUCCGUGCCAGCAGCCGCGGUAAUACGGAGGGUGCGAGCGUUAAUCGGAAUUACUGGGCGUAAAGCGCGCGUAGGCGGUCUGAUAAGCCGGUUGUGAAAGCCCCGGGCUCAACCUGGGAACGGCAUCCGGAACUGUCAGGCUAGAGUGCAGGAGAGGAAGGUAGAAUUCCCGGUGUAGCGGUGAAAUGCGUAGAGAUCGGGAGGAAUACCAGUGGCGAAGGCGGCCUUCUGGACUGACACUGACGCUGAGGUGCGAAAGCGUGGGUAGCAAACAGGAUUAGAUACCCCAGUAGUC
This 465-nucleotide ribosomal RNA is filed under the name Vreelandella stevensii. Its description in RNAcentral is "partial 16S ribosomal RNA". It matches the Rfam family "Bacterial small subunit ribosomal RNA", at positions 338 to 795 of the family's 1533-position model. Lineage: Bacteria; Pseudomonadati; Pseudomonadota; Gammaproteobacteria; Oceanospirillales; Halomonadaceae. The record is from RNAcentral.